Molecule: ribosomal RNA, 443 nt
Filed under: uncultured bacterium
Lineage: Bacteria
Description: partial 16S ribosomal RNA
Rfam family: Bacterial small subunit ribosomal RNA
Source: RNAcentral
CCUACGGGAGGCUGCAGUGGGGAAUAUUGGGCAAUGGGCGCAAGCCUGACCCAGCAACGCCGCGUGAAGGAAUAAUGCUUUCGGGUUUUAAACUUCUUUUCUCAGGGACGAAACAAGUGACGGUACCUGAGUAAUAAGCUACGGCUAACUACGUGCCAGCCGACGCGGUAAUACGUAGGUGGCAAGCGUUAUCCGGAUUUACUGGGUGUAAAGGGCGUGUGGGCGGGAAAGCAAGUCAGAUGUGAAAACCAUGGGCUUAACCUGUGGCCUGCAUUUGAAACUGUUUUUCUUGAGUACUGGAGAGGUAGACGGAAUUCGUAGUGUAGCGGUGAAAUGCGUAGAUAUUAGGAGGAACACCAGUGGCGAAGGCGGUCUGCUGGACAGCAACUGACGCUGAGGCGCGAAAGCGUGGGGAGCAAACAGGAUUAGAUACCCCGGUAGUC